RNAcentral lists this transfer RNA (73 nucleotides) under Bos taurus (domestic cattle). It matches the Rfam family "tRNA". From Rfam's summary of the family: Transfer RNA (tRNA) molecules are approximately 80 nucleotides in length. RNAcentral also lists the same sequence under 3 other names. Lineage: Eukaryota; Metazoa; Chordata; Mammalia; Artiodactyla; Bovidae. The record is from Rfam by way of RNAcentral.
UCCCUAGUGGUCUAGUGGUUAAGAUUCCAUGCUUCUAAUGCAGGGGGCACAGGUUCAAUUCCUGGCUGGGGAA